RNAcentral lists this ribosomal RNA (239 nucleotides) under Gambierdiscus australes. Its description in RNAcentral is "partial Bacterial small subunit ribosomal RNA". It matches the Rfam family "Bacterial small subunit ribosomal RNA", at positions 46 to 281 of the family's 1533-position model. Lineage: Eukaryota; Dinophyceae; Gonyaulacales; Pyrocystaceae. The record is from RNAcentral.
GCCUAACACAUGCAAGUCGAACGGCAGCAUAAGAGAGCUUGCUCUCUUGAUGGCGAGUGGCGGACGGGUGAGUAAUGUAUAGGGAUCUGCCUGACAGUGGGGGACAACAGCCGGAAACGGCUGCUAAUACCGCAUACGCUCUACGGAGGAAAGUGGGGGACCUUCGGGCCUCACGCUGACAGAUGAACCUAUAUCAGAUUAGCUAGUUGGUGGGGUAAAGCCCUACCAAGGCAACGAUC